UGUGCACUGGUGGGGUCCCUCAGCCAGGCCUGCACCCUCUUGCAAUCUGGGACCCCUCUGAGGAUGUCGGAGAGCCAGUUUCAGCCCAAUCCUGCAGGCCAGGCUGAGGGACCCCACUAGUGCACG
Molecule: microRNA precursor, 126 nt
Filed under: Myotis davidii
Lineage: Eukaryota; Metazoa; Chordata; Mammalia; Chiroptera; Vespertilionidae
Description: mir-9193 microRNA precursor family
Rfam family: mir-9193 microRNA precursor family
Source: Rfam by way of RNAcentral